CCCCUGAUGACGCUGCGGCAUGCCUUACACAUGCAAGUCGAACGGCAGCACGGGGGCAACCCUGGUGGCGAGUGGCGAACGGGUGAGUAAUACAUCGGAACGUGUCCUGUAGUGGGGGAUAGCCCGGCGAAAGCCGGAUUAAUACCGCAUACGCUCUACGGAGGAAAGGGGGGGAUCUUAGGACCUCCCGCUACAGGGGCGGCCGAUGGCAGAUUAGCUAGUUGGUGGGGUAAAGGCCUACCAAGGCGACGAUCUGUAGCUGGUCUGAGAGGACGACCAGCCACACUGGGACUGAGACACGGCCCAGACUCCUACGGGAGGCAGCAGUGGGGAAUUUUGGACAAUGGGGGAAACCCUGAUCCAGCAAUGCCGCGUGUGUGAAGAAGGCCUUCGGGUUGUAAAGCACUUUUGUCCGGAAAGAAAACCUCUGGGUUAAUACCCCGGGGGGAUGACGGUACCGGAAGAAUAAGCACCGGCUAACUACGUGCCAGCAGCCGCGGUAAUACGUAGGGUGCAAGCGUUAAUCGGAAUUACUGGGCGUAAAGCGUGCGCAGGCGGUCCGCUAAGACAGAUGUGAAAUCCCCGGGCUUAACCUGGGAACUGCAUUUGUGACUGGCGGGCUAGAGUAUGGCAGAGGGGGGUAGAAUUCCACGUGUAGCAGUGAAAUGCGUAGAGAUGUGGAGGAAUACCGAUGGCGAAGGCAGCCCCCUGGGCCAAUACUGACGCUCAUGCACGAAAGCGUGGGGAGCAAACAGGAUUAGAUACCCUGGUAGUCCACGCCCUAAACGAUGUCAACUAGUUGUCGGGUCUUCAUUGACUUGGUAACGUAGCUAACGCGUGAAGUGACCGCCUG
Molecule: ribosomal RNA, 853 nt
Filed under: Paraburkholderia sp.
Lineage: Bacteria; Pseudomonadati; Pseudomonadota; Betaproteobacteria; Burkholderiales; Burkholderiaceae
Description: bacterial SSU rRNA
Rfam family: Bacterial small subunit ribosomal RNA
Source: RNAcentral